Long non-coding RNA from Gastrolobium bilobum, 695 nucleotides. RefSeq lists it as uncharacterized. NCBI's taxonomy places the organism in Eukaryota, Viridiplantae, Streptophyta, Magnoliopsida, Fabales, Fabaceae. The record is from RefSeq and is a predicted model, not a curated record. The transcript is spliced from 3 exons.
UAUGUGGAUGAACACUUUUCUUCUCCGCAACUUCUAACCCUCGAAACCCUCAAUACCACAGUCUUUAUAUACGCCGUACCCCAAAUCGGAAACUUCCAAGUUCCGGCGAAUUUCACGCUUCAAUAACUCUCUGCCCGAGUUACAACCAACCGACUGAAUUUCUGGUGAAGGAUCUUCCCAGGUCUGCUGCAUAUGAUAGCACUUUGCUUCAACACAUUCACAAGUAUCUGAACAGAGACCCAAAAAAGUUGCAGAGGCAGAGCACGUGAUAGUCGGUGCCUCCAUAUUCAAAGCUUGGAGAAGAAGAGUGCAUGAGAGAUCCAAAGAGUAAUCAUACCGGGUGGUUGAAGAUUUACCCGGGUACACCCCUCUCUACCCGGGUAAAUAAUUCAAGCAAUUUCUCAGGGCACUUGCGUGGAAUAUGAGCAUGAAAAAUAAAUGUAGGAUGGUGCUGGUCGUCUUGGAAAGAUGCUUUAUGCUCGGCAAAGAAAGAAAUUUGAUUAUGAUCUAAAACAGGCAGUAAAUUACUUGCUGCUUGUUCUGGUCAAUUUGAUAAUACAAAUUUGAGCUAUACCACAAUCAUUCAAUCUCAUGACUCUACUAGUUUGUCUUCCCACCUGUAACAGUAGGAUUAUUUUUUUCCACCGCCUGGAUGUUGCAUGUAUAUAAAUGAUCGAAUGGAUAUCUAUUGAGAU